Non-coding RNA from Myotis brandtii (Brandt's bat), 75 nucleotides. Lineage: Eukaryota; Metazoa; Chordata; Mammalia; Chiroptera; Vespertilionidae. The record is from Rfam.
GGCAGCUCUUGGGUGAUGCACCCCAGAAUCGGGCUCCCUCUUCUCUGGUUCUAGGUGCAUCACCCAAGAACCGCU